AUCAUGGCAAUGGGAGAGUAAGAAAGCAGCAAAUCAUUACCACAAUGGCAGUGAAGAAGUGGAAAUCAGUGACUGUCUUGGUUACCUUGAAAAGAGCAGCUUUACCCCACCACACUCAACCUGCCACAGAGAUCUGCCUCAACACAAGCCCAGUUUGACAGGGCUUGUGGACUGAACCCUCUAAAGCCAUAAGUCAAAACUCAGGAAUGACAUGCCUUCGAUGUCUGCUUCCAAGAUGGGCACAGUAGCACUCAC
Long non-coding RNA from Mastomys coucha (southern multimammate mouse), 255 nucleotides. RefSeq lists it as uncharacterized. The transcript is spliced from 3 exons. The record is from RefSeq and is a predicted model, not a curated record. Lineage: Eukaryota; Metazoa; Chordata; Mammalia; Rodentia; Muridae.